Long non-coding RNA from Mauremys reevesii (Reeves's turtle), 337 nucleotides. RefSeq lists it as uncharacterized. NCBI's taxonomy places the organism in Eukaryota, Metazoa, Chordata, Testudines, Geoemydidae. The record is from RefSeq and is a predicted model, not a curated record. The transcript has 3 exons.
GUUGCAAGGUUUGAAUUACUACAUUUAGAUCUUUUAAUAGGUGUUGAAGAGUCACACAGAUCUUUCUCUAAUGGAAGAGAACCCUUUGGAGCAUUUUCUUUUUCAGGAUAAAGCUAGAAAAGUUUUUAAUGAAGCUCAAGGCCUUAUGAGAUGUGUGUGGAUGUGCAUGGCCCCAGUGGGAGCACCAGGAAGCCCAGAUUGGGUACAUUGUGUGCUUCUUGAAAGGUGCAGCAAAUGAAGUCGGGUUAGAAAACUGAGGACGGCGGGGAGUGAAAAGAAAAGGCUUUCUAUUCCGGCCAUUAAAUAUGCAGUGUUUCCACACGCUGAGAUUGAAAGG